UGUUGAUCUCCCGGUGCGCCCGGGGCGCCCGCGACGCCUUGCUGAAGGCCACCUUGGCGCCGACGCCCACGGCCAGGGCGAAGCUGAUGACCCCGCACACCACGGGUGACGCGUCCCCGCCGCAGCUGGAGAGGCGAGGGAGCCGAGUGGACACCCCAGCCCCAGCACGUGCCCGGCCAGCUCUUACCUAAGCCCCUCCUCCGUGCCUCGGUUUCCCCGUCUGGUGGCUGGGAGGAGGAAACGCGCUACCGGCUAGAGAACUUAGAAGAGCGCCCGGCGUAUGGCAGGUGCCAUACAUGAAAGUGUUUGCAGCUGUUCAGCCCAGGAAGCAAAUAGGAGACCGCAGUGGCUGUCAUCCCGACUGUUUCUAUGGCAACAGUCCAGCCAGGGCUGCUGUCUCAUGAGACCCUCACCGAGCUUGGCCCACAGCAGGAGGGACGCGGGCACUGAGCAAAGUCGACAAAUGCUGGCUGAGCACCUUCGUGUGCCCGGUGCUGUUCUGGAUCCCAGGGAGCCUGCAGCGAACAAACCCACAGGGUCCCUCGUCCUGAUGCGCACGCCACACUAGUCAUGGGAAAGUGACAAUGAGCAGACAAACGUGAAGUACGGGGACACGUGUUGAAGACAGUGGUUAGGAAAUUAUCAAGGAGGCCAUGGAGUCAUGAAAGCAGCAUAAGGGGGUGGAAAGGGAUGGUGAGACGAAUUUAAAAAAUAUUUGGUAUUUUCUUUAUUUUUUUUGUUCUUUUCCAUUCAGUGUGUGUGUGUGUGUGUGCAGGAACCACACCCUGUCAACAGAAUUCCAGGGCUUGUGAUGGGGAGAGGAGCAGGGGGCUGAGGCUCCCCAAGCUGUGGUCAACCUCCCCUAUCUCCCUCAAGAAAGCUCAGUGUCCUUUUAGCUCCAGCCCGGACCCCUCCCCUGAACUCCUGGGUGGGACACCCCACUGCCUAUUCAAACCUUCCACUUAGGUGUCUGAUGGGCAUCUCAGAAGUGGCUUGCCCACACUGUGGGAAACUUUGGUGGUUUCUCAAAAAGUUAAACAUAGAAUUACCUAUGACCCAGCAAUCCCACAGGUAUAUGCAGAAAAGAAAUGAAAAGCAGGGACUUGAACAUGUAUUUGCACAUCAACAGUCACAGCAGCAUUAGUCACAAUUCCCAAAAGAUGGAGGCAACCCUAGUGUCCAUCAGCCGAGGAACGGAGAAACAAAAUGUGGUUUGCACACACGGUGGGAUGUUAUUCAGGCACAGAAGGCAUGGAGGUCUGAAUCAUGUGACAAGGAUGAAGCUUGAAAACGUUACACCGAGUGGAUGAAAUCAGACACAAUCGUACAAAGGCCACGUAGUGCAUGAGGCCGUUUUUAUGAAACCUCCAGAAGACAGAUUAGCCGCUUGCCAGGGACUGGGAGGAGGGGAGAAUGGGAAGUGACUGCUUGAGGGGUAUGGGGUCUCCUUUUGGGGUGAGGAGAACGUUCUGGAACUAGAUACAGGUGGUGAUUGCUCAAUAUUGUCAAGGUACUAAAUGCCACUGAAUUGUACACUUUA
This is a long non-coding RNA of Choloepus didactylus (southern two-toed sloth), 1540 nucleotides long. RefSeq lists it as uncharacterized. The transcript is spliced from 3 exons. Lineage: Eukaryota; Metazoa; Chordata; Mammalia; Pilosa; Megalonychidae. The record is from RefSeq and is a predicted model, not a curated record.